UUCUCGGAGCAAGUUCCACUAUGGACUCCGCUACCAUCAUGUCAUUGGUAAGUUUCUGAACUCCUCGACGCUGCAAUUCUUGCUUCGCCCAUGGUUUCAACCCAUCUAUAAAAGAGAAAAAUGCUUUCUUCCCAAUCAAAUCAGAGAUUUGGAGUAUGAGUUCACUGAACUCCAGCACAUCCUCCCUAAUCGUGCCUCGUUGUGUUAGCCAUCGCAACUUUGCUCGAGCUUCAUCCUCGGCAUACUCGGGAUAAAACUGUGCUUUAAAUUCACUUUGGAACUCCUUCCAAGUCCCAAU
This 298-nucleotide long non-coding RNA is filed under the name Gossypium barbadense (sea-island cotton). Its description in RNAcentral is "long non-coding RNA (GBAR_LNC014933)". Lineage: Eukaryota; Viridiplantae; Streptophyta; Magnoliopsida; Malvales; Malvaceae. The record is from RNAcentral.